RNAcentral lists this ribosomal RNA (631 nucleotides) under uncultured archaeon. RNAcentral describes it as "bacterial SSU rRNA". It matches the Rfam family "Archaeal small subunit ribosomal RNA", at positions 147 to 774 of the family's 1478-position model. The record is from RNAcentral.
UAAUACUGGAUAGGCAAUUAUUCCUGUAAUGGUUUUUUGUUUAAAUGUUUUUUCGCCUAAGGAUGGGUCUGCGGCCGAUUAGGUAGUUGGUUAGGUAAUGGCUUACCAAGCCUUUGAUCGGUACGGGUUGUGAGAGCAAGAGCCCGGAGAUGGAACCUGAGACAAGGUUCCAGGCCCUACGGGGUGCAGCAGGCGCGAAACCUCCGCAAUGUGAGAAAUCGCGACGGGGGGUUCCAAGUGCCAUUCUUAACGGGAUGGCUUUUCAUUAUGUAAAGAGCUUUUGGAAUAAGAGCUGGGCAGACCGGUGCCAGCCGCCGCGGUAACACCGGCAGCUCUAGUGGUAGCAGUUUUUAUUGGGCCUAAAGCGUCCGUAGCCGGUUUAAUAAGUCUCUGGUGAAAUCCUGCAGCUUAACUGUGGGAAUUGCUGGAGAUACUAUUAAACUUGAGAUCGGGAGAGGUUAGAGGUACUCCCAGGGUAGAGGUGAAAUUCUGUAAUCGCUGGGAGGGGACCCGCCUGGGUUGCGAAGGGCGUCUGACUGGGAACGAUUCUGACGGUGAGGGACGAAAGCUAGGGGCGCGAACCGGAUUAAUACCCGGGUAGUCCUACCUGUAAACGAUGCGGACUUGGUGU